AUUGAACUCUGGCGGCAGGCCUAACACAUGCAAGUCGAGCGGUAGCACAGAGAGCUUGCUCUCGGGUGACGAGCGGCGGACGGGUGAGUAAUGUCUGGGAAACUGCCUGAUGGAGGGGGAUAACUACUGGAAACGGUAGCUAAUACCGCAUAACGUCGCAAGACCAAAGUGGGGGACCUUCGGGCCUCAUGCCAUCAGAUGUGCCCAGAUGGGAUUAGCUAGUAGGUGGGGUAACGGCUCACCUAGGCGACGAUCCCUAGCUGGUCUGAGAGGAUGACCAGCCACACUGGAACUGAGACACGGUCCAGACUCCUACGGGAGGCAGCAGUGGGGAAUAUUGCACAAUGGGCGCAAGCCUGAUGCAGCCAUGCCGCGUGUGUGAAGAAGGCCUUCGGGUUGUAAAGCACUUUCAGCGGGGAGGAAGGCGUUAAGGUUAAUAACCUUGGCGAUUGACGUUACCCGCAGAAGAAGCACCGGCUAACUCCGUGCCAGCAGCCGCGGUAAUACGGAGGGUGCAAGCGUUAAUCGGAAUUACUGGGCGUAAAGCGCACGCAGGCGGUCUGUCAAGUCGGAUGUGAAAUCCCCGGGCUCAACCUGGGAACUGCAUUCGAAACUGGCAGGCUAGAGUCUUGUAGAGGGGGGUAGAAUUCCAGGUGUAGCGGUGAAAUGCGUAGAGAUCUGGAGGAAUACCGGUGGCGAAGGCGGCCCCCUGGACAAAGACUGACGCUCAGGUGCGAAAGCGUGGGGAGCAAACAGGAUUAGAUACCCUGGUAGUCCACGCCGUAAACGAUGUCGAUUUGGAGGUUGUGCCCUUGAGGCGUGGCUUCCGGAGCUAACGCGUUAAAUCGACCGCCUGGGGAGUACGGCCGCAAGGUUAAAACUCAAAUGAAUUGACGGGGGCCCGCACAAGCGGUGGAGCAUGUGGUUUAAUUCGAUGCAACGCGAAGAACCUUACCUGGUCUUGACAUCCACAGAACUUAGCAGAGAUGCUUUGGUGCCUUCGGGAACUGUGAGACAGGUGCUGCAUGGCUGUCGUCAGCUCGUGUUGUGAAUUGUUGGGUUAAGUCCCGCAACGAGCGCAACCCUUAUCCUUUGUUGCCAGCGGUCCGGCCGGGAACUCAAAGGAGACUGCCAGUGAUAAACUGGAGGAAGGUGGGGAUGACGUCAAGUCAUCAUGGCCCUUACGACCAGGGCUACACACGUGCUACAAUGGCAUAUACAAAGAGAAGCGACCUCGCGAGAGCAAGCGGACCUCAUAAAGUAUGUCGUAGUCCGGAUUGGAGUCUGCAACUCGACUCCAUGAAGUCGGAAUCGCUGGUAAUCGUAGAUCAGAAUGCUACGGUGAAUACGUUCCCGGGCCU
RNAcentral lists this ribosomal RNA (1361 nucleotides) under uncultured bacterium. Its description in RNAcentral is "bacterial SSU rRNA". It matches the Rfam family "Bacterial small subunit ribosomal RNA", at positions 28 to 1381 of the family's 1533-position model. The record is from RNAcentral.